AUGGCUGCCAAGACCACCUCAUGCUUCACCUUCCUCAAGGAAGCGCUGGUCCUCCCCACGCGAAACCCCAAGCUCUUCGCCCCCAUCCUCAUCUUUGUGGCCGCCAUCGCCUUCCUCAUCCCCGCGGUCAACGUGGUCUUCAUCCAGCCGCUCACCGCCGAGAUGCUGCACCACGUCGCCGAGAUGCAGACCACCGACCCCUCGAGCGCCGAGUACGCCAGGCUCCUGGAGGAGAUACGUCAGGAGGCCAGGGAGCUCGUCCUCAUCGCCGUCGCCCUCACGGUCGUCACCCUGCCGCUCGUCUUCGCCAAGCAGAUCCUCGCCUUCUCCGCGGCCUCCACGACGUACUCCGGCGACCGCUACUCCCUCGCGGAGCUCCUCCGCAGGGUGACCAAGUGGGCCAACCUGAGGGGCCCUCUCGUCACCGUGGGCGUGGUCACCGCGCUCCAGCUCACGUUCAUGGCGCUCCUGGGCGUCUACCUCUCCGCCGUCAUGCGCCACGCGGGGGUGCUCUCCGUGCAAGGCGCGGUCUUCGUCCUCGCCUUUCUCGCCUUCAUGUACUUCGGGGUCGUGGCCGUGGUGGGCGUCGCCGUGUCGGUGGCCGACGAGGGGUGCCGCGGCGUGCGCGCGCUCGGGCGGGCGUGGCGGCUCAUGACGCGGGUGAGGCGGAAGGAGGGCGCCCUGCUGGCGGCGGUGAUGGUCCUCCUGCCGACCGUUGUGAGCCCGGUGUACGCGCUCGCGCUCACGUACGCCAGGAAGAGCAUGGCGGUGGGGCUGUACCUGCUGUUUGGGUACGCUCUUCUGUCUGCUGCGGUGCAGGUGUUCUACAUCGCGGCGGCUACGGUGUACUACUAUGAGGCCAUGGAGAGCAAAGAGGUGGUGGUGACUUUUCAUGGCUAUGCCAAGAUACCUUCCGGUGAGGGUGAGGCAAAUGUCUGA
RNAcentral lists this ribosomal RNA (939 nucleotides) under Triticum aestivum (bread wheat). RNAcentral's name for it is "partial small subunit ribosomal RNA". The record is from RNAcentral. Lineage: Eukaryota; Viridiplantae; Streptophyta; Magnoliopsida; Poales; Poaceae.